AGAGUUUGAUCCUGGCUCAGAUUGAACGCUGGCGGCAUGCCUUACACAUGCAAGUCGAACGGCAGCACGGGAGCAAUCCUGGUGGCGAGUGGCGAACGGGUGAGUAAUACAUCGGAACGUGCCCAGUUGUGGGGGAUAGCCCGGCGAAAGCCGGAUUAAUACCGCAUACGACCUACGGGUGAAAGCGGGGGAUCGCAAGACCUCGCGCAAUUGGAGCGGCCGAUGGCAGAUUAGCUUGUUGGUGGGGUAAAAGCCUACCAAGGCGACGAUCUGUAGCUGGUCUGAGAGGACGACCAGCCACACUGGGACUGAGACACGGCCCAGACUCCUACGGGAGGCAGCAGUGGGGAAUUUUGGACAAUGGGCGCAAGCCUGAUCCAGCCAUGCCGCGUGUGGGAAGAAGGCCUUCGGGUUGUAAACCACUUUUGUCAGGGAAGAAACGGUCUGAUCUAAUAAAUCGGACUAAUGACGGUACCUGAAGAAUAAGCACCGGCUAACUACGUGCCAGCAGCCGCGGUAAUACGUAGGGUGCAAGCGUUAAUCGGAAUUACUGGGCGUAAAGCGUGCGCAGGCGGCUAUGCAAGACAGAUGUGAAAUCCCCGGGCUCAACCUGGGAACUGCAUUUGUGACUGCAUGGCUAGAGUACGGCAGAGGGGGAUGGAAUUCCGCGUGUAGCAGUGAAAUGCGUAGAUAUGCGGAGGAACACCGAUGGCGAAGGCAAUCCCCUGGGCCUGUACUGACGCUCAUGCACGAAAGCGUGGGGAGCAAACAGGAUUAGAUACCCUGGUAGUCCACGCCCUAAACGAUGUCAACUGGUUGUUGGACGGCUUGCUGUUCAGUAACGAAGCUAACGCGUGAAGUUGACCGCCUGGGGAGUACGGCCGCAAGGUUGAAACUCAAAGGAAUUGGCGGGGACCCGCACAAGCGGUGGAUGAUGUGGUUUAAUUCGAUGCAACGCGAAAAACCUUACCUACCCUUGACAUGUCUAGAAGUUUCCAGAGAUGGAUUCGUGCUCGAAAGAGAACUAGAACACAGGUGCUGCAUGGCCGUCGUCAGCUCGUGUCGUGAGAUGUUGGGUUAAGUCCCGCAACGAGCGCAACCCUUAUCAUUAGUUGCUACGCAAGGGCACUCUAAUGAGACUGCCGGUGACAAACCGGAGGAAGGUGGGGAUGACGUCAGGUCAUCAUGGCCCUUAUGGGUAGGGCUACACACGUCAUACAAUGGCCGGUACAGAGGGCUGCCAACUCGCGAGAGGGAGCUAAUCUCAGAAAACCGGUCGUAGUCCGGAUCGCAGUCUGCAACUCGACUGCGUGAAGUCGGAAUCGCUAGUAAUCGCGGAUCAGCUUGCCGCGGUGAAUACGUUCCCGGGUCUUGUACACACCGCCCGUCACACCAUGGGAGCGGGUUCUGCCAGAAGUAGUUAGCCUAACCGCAAGGAGGGCGAUUACCACGGCAGGGUUCGUGACUGGGGUG
RNAcentral lists this ribosomal RNA (1473 nucleotides) under metagenome. RNAcentral describes it as "bacterial SSU rRNA". It matches the Rfam family "Bacterial small subunit ribosomal RNA". The record is from RNAcentral.